UACUGGUCUGUCUUCCGACGAUGUGAGU
RNAcentral lists this small RNA (28 nucleotides) under Bombyx mori (domestic silkworm). Its description in RNAcentral is "ovarian small RNA-834". Lineage: Eukaryota; Metazoa; Arthropoda; Insecta; Lepidoptera; Bombycidae. The record is from RNAcentral.